AACGCGAAGAACCUUACCUACCCUUGACAUGUACGGAAGCCCUCAGAGAUGGGGGUGUGCCCGAAAGGGAGCCGUAACACAGGUGCUGCAUGGCUGUCGUCAGCUCGUGUCGUGAGAUGUUGGGUUAAGUCCCGCAACGAGCGCAACCCUUGUCCCUAGUUGCUACGCAAGGGCACUCUAGGGAGACUGCCGGUGACAAACCGGAGGAAGGUGGGGAUGACGUCAAGUCCUCAUGGCCCUUAUGGGUAGGGCUUCACACGUCAUACAAUGGCCGGUACAGAGGGUUGCCAAAGCGCGAGCUGGAGCCAAUCCCAGAAAGCCGGUCGUAGUCCGGAUUGCAGUCUGCAACUCGACUGCAUGAAGUCGGAAUCGCUAGUAAUCGCGGAUCAGCAUGUCGCGGUGAAUACGUUCCCGGGCCUUGUA
This 423-nucleotide ribosomal RNA is filed under the name uncultured beta proteobacterium. RNAcentral describes it as "bacterial SSU rRNA". It matches the Rfam family "Bacterial small subunit ribosomal RNA", at positions 958 to 1385 of the family's 1533-position model. The record is from RNAcentral. Lineage: Bacteria; Pseudomonadati; Pseudomonadota; Betaproteobacteria.